GCCGGGCGUGGUGGCGCACGCCUGUAAUCCCAGCACUUGGGAGGCUGAGGCAGGAGGAUCGCUUGAGUUCGAGACAGGCCUGGGCUACAUAGUGAGUUCCAGGUCAGCCUCAACUACAUAGUGAGACCUUGUCUCAA
This 137-nucleotide non-coding RNA is filed under the name Fukomys damarensis (Damara mole-rat). Lineage: Eukaryota; Metazoa; Chordata; Mammalia; Rodentia; Bathyergidae. The record is from Rfam by way of RNAcentral.